UUGGACAAUGGGGGAAACCCUGAUCCAGCGAUGCCGUGUGUGUGAAGAAGGCCUAAGGGUUGUAAACCACUUUAGUUAGGGAGGAGAAGCAGAUAAUGAAUAAUUGUCUGUGGAGACGUUACCUACAGAAUAAGCACCGGCUAACUCUGUGCCAGCAGCCGCGGUAAUACAGAGGGUGCAAGCGUUAAUCGGAAUUAUUGGGCGUAAAGGGCGCGUAGGCGGUUAGAUAAGUUGGAUGUGAAAUACUCAGGCUUAACCUGAGAACUGCAUCCGAUACUAUCUUACUAGAGUACAGAAGAGGGAAGUGGAAUUUCCAGUGUAGCAGUGAAACGCGUAGAUAUGGAAGGAACACCAGUGGCGAAGGCGGCUUCCUGGUCUGAAACUGACGCUGAGGCGCGAGAGCAUGGGGAGCAAACAGGAUUAGAUACCCUGGUAGUCCAUGCUGUAAACGAUGAGAACUAGCUGUUUAUGUUGAAAGAUAUGAGUGGCGAAGCUAACGCGAUAAGUUCUCCGCCUGAGGAGUACGGCCGCAAGGCUAAAACUCAAAGGAAUUGACGG
This 558-nucleotide ribosomal RNA is filed under the name uncultured bacterium. Its description in RNAcentral is "bacterial SSU rRNA". It matches the Rfam family "Bacterial small subunit ribosomal RNA", at positions 364 to 916 of the family's 1533-position model. The record is from RNAcentral.